UCCAGUGAACACUGAAUACAAGGAGAAGCUCCUAGUUGAUGGACAUGUUCUUCAGGAUCCUUUUUCCUUGGAUUUUGGAUGGAACAGGGAGGAGAAAGGAAUCAACAUGUGUCCGUCAGUGUACAUUACAGACAUAGCAAGUUACAUGAAUGAGAGAACUCCAGAGGACCUUGUGAGACAGAUCACCAAUGAAUAUAAAAUGGGGUAGCAGAUCCCCUAAACAGCAACCUGAAGGAAGCAGCAAAUCGUCUGGCAAGCAAGGGCUGGGCAGACUCAACAAAAGGGACGUAUGGAAGCCACCUUAAGUGUUACAUGGAGUUCUGUGAGAAGACAAAGUUCAACCCAGUCCCAGCUACAAAUUAGUGUCUUUCUUGUUUUGUGGCAUACAUGGUUGAUAUAAAGCAUUUUAAGUACAGUACUGUGAGACAAUAUUUGUGCAUUGUGUCUAAUAUUCACAAAAUGAAUGAUCUUGAUGAUCCAUUGAAGGAUAACUGGCAUGUGCAGAACCUGCUCAGGGGUGUACGAAGAGAGCUAGGUGAUGCUCAAAAGUGUGCAGCACCCAUUACUCCCUAUCACUUAUUGAUGAUUCGUUUUAAGCUGAACUUAAGUUUAUUGGGUGCGUCCAUCUGGACUGCAUGUUUAACAGGAUUUUUUGGUAUGCUUAGAUCUAGCAACUUUUUGUGUUAAAGUGUGUUUGAUGCCAGCAAGCACAUGUGUGUUGAAGAUGUCUCCCUGAGCGAUGGAGCGUUUGCGAUAGACUUAAAA
This is a long non-coding RNA of Haliotis rufescens (red abalone), 765 nucleotides long. RefSeq lists it as uncharacterized. Lineage: Eukaryota; Metazoa; Mollusca; Gastropoda; Lepetellida; Haliotidae. The record is from RefSeq and is a predicted model, not a curated record. The transcript is spliced from 2 exons.